RNAcentral lists this ribosomal RNA (253 nucleotides) under uncultured bacterium. Its description in RNAcentral is "partial 16S ribosomal RNA". It matches the Rfam family "Bacterial small subunit ribosomal RNA", at positions 524 to 776 of the family's 1533-position model. The record is from RNAcentral.
UACGUAGGGUCCGAGCGUUGUCCGGAAUUAUUGGGCGUAAAGAGCUCGUAGGCGGUUUGUCGCGUCUGCUGUGAAAACUGGGGGCUCAACCCCCAGCCUGCAGUGGGUACGGGCAGACUAGAGUGCGGUAGGGGAGAUUGGAAUUCCUGGUGUAGCGGUGGAAUGCGCAGAUAUCAGGAGGAACACCGAUGGCGAAGGCAGAUCUCUGGGCCGUAACUGACGCUGAGGAGCGAAAGCAUGGGGAGCGAACAGG